RNAcentral lists this transfer RNA (86 nucleotides) under Candidatus Woesearchaeota archaeon. Its description in RNAcentral is "tRNA-Leu". It matches the Rfam family "tRNA". From Rfam's summary of the family: Transfer RNA (tRNA) molecules are approximately 80 nucleotides in length. Their secondary structure includes four short double-helical elements and three loops (D, anti-codon, and T loops). Further hydrogen bonds mediate the characteristic L-shaped molecular structure. tRNAs have two regions of fundamental functional importance: the anti-codon, which is responsible for specific mRNA codon recognition, and the 3' end, to which the tRNAs corresponding amino acid is attached (by aminoacyl-tRNA synthetases). tRNAs cope with the degeneracy of the genetic code in two manners: having more than one tRNA (with a specific anti-codon) for a particular amino acid; and 'wobble' base-pairing, i.e. permitting non-standard base-pairing at the 3rd anti-codon position. Lineage: Archaea; Nanobdellati; Candidatus Woesearchaeota. The record is from RNAcentral.
GCGGGGGUGGCAGAGUCUGGUCAAAUGCGCUAGCUUGAGGGGCUAGUCCCUUAGUGGGUGCGCGUGUUCAAAUCACGUCCCUCGCA